CGGGGUGUGGCUCAGCUUGGUAGAGCACUUGACUGGGGGUCAAGGGGCCGCUGGUUCAAAUCCAGUCACUCCGACCA
Molecule: transfer RNA, 77 nt
Filed under: Clostridiaceae bacterium
Lineage: Bacteria; Bacillati; Bacillota; Clostridia; Eubacteriales; Clostridiaceae
Description: tRNA-Pro
Rfam family: tRNA
About the family: Transfer RNA (tRNA) molecules are approximately 80 nucleotides in length. Their secondary structure includes four short double-helical elements and three loops (D, anti-codon, and T loops).
Source: RNAcentral